GCAUUUUGGAGCCUUUUGGAGCAGUUUUGGACAUCAAAUGGAUUGCACAUGCUUGGAGCUAAGAAGAUGGACGAAAUUGAAGAUCAAAUGAGCGUAGGAUUGAAUGAAGAUGUGAAGAAUUGGAUUCAGGACAAAUAAAGAAUGAAGAGUUCAAAUUGGAAGCCAAAGUUUCUAAAGUUGGAAGUUUCUAUUCUUGGAGGUUUCCAUCUUUGGCUCUAAACUUUCCUAAUCCUAAUUCACCUAUGUUCCAGCUGCAAGGAGGCUUCCUAAAUAUUUUAGGACACUAAAUAAAUGCUUCUAGAAGACCUAGACCUAUCCCUAAUCUUUGCCGCACCCACCUUCCUAUUUUUCCUACUUUACCUUCCUUGUUUCCCUUUCUUGUUUUCCUAGUUCUUGCAAUUAAACACAUUCCUGUUUUGUCCAUCCCUUGCUGCACAAGGGAGAGAUUCUCCUUCCUAUUUUAUGUCCUAAAACAUAUUUCCUUUUCCCUAAAACCCUAUGCCGCACCUUACAUCCUUUCUUGCCUAUUUUCUGACCCAAAACACAUUCCUAAAUCUGCCCUACAAUUUCUGCCGAAUUUCCCUUUCCUUUUCUCUUUAAUUCCUGCACCUUUCUUGCCUAUUUUUUCACCCAAAAUCACAUUCCUUUUCCUACAUAAAUCCUUCCCUAAAACCACUUCAAAUUCGUAGCCCUUCCUUCCCCUAUAAAUAAAGGUCCUUGCUGACCAUUCUAAGCAUUCCACCCUUCACCAUAACCUACCUACAUCCAUCCACCACCAUAAAACAUUCACCAUUCACGCCAGAAACACCAUCCCACUCUAUGCCGCACCUUUCCUUCACCAUUCACCAUAUUUUCUGACCCAAAACCACCCUAGCCGUCCCAUACACCUAUCCCAGCCAUAAACCCAUCCUUCUACACCAUCCAUAACCCCCAAAACUCACCCAUUCGUGUGUCGUAGCAAGGAGAAAGAAGGAAGGACUCUUGGAUGCUCAAGCUUCAUCGUUGGUGCAUUCUAGGUGUAAUUCGUUUUAUGAUUUCAAUGUUUAAUUUCUUUUCCUUUCGUUUUGCUAUGAACAUGAGUGGCUAAACCCCUAUUGGUUAGGGGUAAUUUCGAAGCCAUGACUAUGUGUGCAAGUUGAUUUGAUAAAUUCCAGUUAUGAGUUCUUGAAUCGUGAAUGCAAUUGGCUUAACUGUGCGAGUAAUAACUUAUUUGUGUUUGUUAAUUAGGGGUCGACACUUAAUUGGUUUGCAUGAAUAUGAUGCUAGAAUAUAAGGUUGUUUCACAUAAUCGUCACACACUUAUAUUCAUAUGUGGUUAAGGUCGCUAGUCACGAUCGCGUUAAGUCCAAUUCCUAGCAUGAGUGACAUAAUGUCAUAGUUGCAAGUGCUUUGUCAAUGCUUAUAGUUUUCAUUGAACGUAAUGAUCUUUGAUUGUAUCUUUAUUAUGAUGUCAUGUAGGGAACUUUUGAGGAAUGCUUUGGGUUGUCGAAUGAUGUCAUCCAAUCCAAUAACACAAGGAAAACUUGAGAAUUAACUAGUGAUGUCACGGUUAAUUUGGGGCAUUGUCAUUCAUAAUUCAAUGAAGGAAUAACUGGAAAUCGAGUCGUUUGCAUACUUGUCAUGUGGAGAAAGAGCCUCUAACUAAUCCAUCAUCCAUUUAAAACCCCAAAAUCGUUUUCAAUUCUGUUUUUACUUUGCAAUCUGUUUUGUCAGUUUAUUUUCGUCCAAAUCAAACCCCCAUUUAUUUUGAAGCCCUAGAUUAGUUAGAAAGUGUUUUGGUUUAUGUUUUUAAGUGUUUUGGAACAAGUUAAAACCCAAAUUCGUCCAAUUUGGUGGUUUGUGCUCAAAACUGCCCAGAAAGUGUUUUUAAGGCAGUUUUGAGUCUUUUGGUUGCUGUUUUGAGUUUUUGGUUUGUUUUAGUGUUUUAAACUUUAGUUUUGCAUUCUUUAAGUCUAAUCUAGUGUUUUAAACUUUGUUUUUACGUUUCUAAGUCAGUUUUCAAGUGUUUAGCAAUCCCUCCUAAUCCCCGGUCUAGAACGAUCCCUACUUAUUCAUACUACAAUUGUCAACAAGAGGGUUUAAUUUGUGUGCUUAUAUAUUUCGCAUCACUACAACAAGGUGGUGAAAACGAAGGUCCUUGGCGUUUCAAGCUUGGAACUUUGGAGCGUUUUAGGUGUACUACAUUCUUGCUUUCAAUGUCUACUUUGUUAGUUUCUAAUUUUAUUGCAAUUAUGAGUGGGUAAACCCCUAUUUAGUUA
Molecule: long non-coding RNA, 2258 nt
Filed under: Malus domestica (apple)
Lineage: Eukaryota; Viridiplantae; Streptophyta; Magnoliopsida; Rosales; Rosaceae
Description: long non-coding RNA (MDOM_LNC018869)
Source: RNAcentral